RNAcentral lists this ribosomal RNA (496 nucleotides) under uncultured bacterium. RNAcentral's name for it is "partial 16S ribosomal RNA". It matches the Rfam family "Bacterial small subunit ribosomal RNA", at positions 29 to 507 of the family's 1533-position model. The record is from RNAcentral.
AUGAACGCUGGCGGCGUGCCUAAUCCAUGCAAGUCGAGCGAACGGACGAGAAGCUUGCUUUUCUGAUGUUAGCGGCGGACGGGUGAGUAACACGUGGAUAACCUACCUAUAAGCCUGGGAUAACUUCGGGAAACCGGAGCUAAUACCGGAUAAUAUUUUGAACCGCAUGGUUCAAAAGUGAAAGACGGUCUUGCUGUCACUUAUAGAUGGAUCCGCGCUGCAUUAGCUAGUUGGUAAGGUAACGGCUUACCAAGGCAACGAUGCAUAGCCGACCUGAGAGGGUGAUCGGCCACACUGGAACUGAGACACGGUCCAGACUCCUACGGGAGGCAGCAGUAGGGAAUCUUCCGCAAUGGGCGAAAGUCUGACGGAGCAACGCCGCGUGAGUGAUGAAGGUCUUCGGAUCGUAAAACUCUGUUAUUAGGGAAGAACAUAUGUGUAAGUAACUGUGCACAUCUUGACGGUACCUAAUCAGAAAGCCACGGCUAACUACGUG